AUUGAACGCUGGCGGCAUGCCUUACACAUGCAAGUCGAACGGCAGCGGGGGAGAAGCUUGCUUUUCCUGCCGGCGAGUGGCGAACGGGUGAGUAAUACAUCGGAACGUGCCCUGUAGUGGGGGAUAACUAGUCGAAAGAUUAGCUAAUACCGCAUACGACCUGAGGGUGAAAGUGGGGGACCGCAAGGCCUCAUGCUAUAGGAGCGGCCGAUGUCUGAUUAGCUAGUUGGUGGGGUAAAGGCCUACCAAGGCGACGAUCAGUAGCUGGUCUGAGAGGACGAUCAGCCACACUGGGACUGAGACACGGCCCAGACUCCUACGGGAGGCAGCAGUGGGGAAUUUUGGACAAUGGGCGAAAGCCUGAUCCAGCAAUGCCGCGUGUGAAGAAGGCCUUCGGGUUGUAAAGCACUUUUGUCCGGAAAGAAAUGGCUCUGGUUAAUACCUGGGGUCGAUGACGGUACCGGAAGAAUAAGGACCGGCUAACUACGUGCCAGCAGCCGCCGUAA
RNAcentral lists this ribosomal RNA (506 nucleotides) under uncultured bacterium. RNAcentral describes it as "partial 16S ribosomal RNA". It matches the Rfam family "Bacterial small subunit ribosomal RNA", at positions 30 to 523 of the family's 1533-position model. The record is from RNAcentral.